This 98-nucleotide small nucleolar RNA is filed under the name Musa acuminata subsp. malaccensis (wild Malaysian banana). Its description in RNAcentral is "Small nucleolar RNA R64/Z200 family". It matches the Rfam family "Small nucleolar RNA R64/Z200 family". Rfam says of the family: This family of plant small nucleolar RNAs belong to the C/D class of snoRNA which contain the C (UGAUGA) and D (CUGA) box motifs. This family includes Arabidopsis thaliana snoRNA R64 and Oryza sativa snoRNAs Z200 and J16. Lineage: Eukaryota; Viridiplantae; Streptophyta; Magnoliopsida; Zingiberales; Musaceae. The record is from Rfam by way of RNAcentral.
UGAUGGUAUGAUGAAUCUUGAAAUGGAAUCUUCGCAUGUCAGACUUCAGAGAUACCUCGAGUAUCGAUGAGAAGCCAUUUCAUUCUUCUGAGCCAGCU